This 498-nucleotide ribosomal RNA is filed under the name uncultured bacterium. Its description in RNAcentral is "partial 16S ribosomal RNA". It matches the Rfam family "Bacterial small subunit ribosomal RNA", at positions 28 to 523 of the family's 1533-position model. The record is from RNAcentral.
GAUGAACGCUAGCGGCAGGCCUAAUACAUGCAAGUCGAGGGAGAAUGUUGGAUUCGUCUGACAUGAAACCGGCGCACGGGUGCGUAACACGUAUGCAACCUACCUUUAACUGGGGUAUAGCUCAGAGAAAUCUGAGUUAAUCCCCCAUAAGACUACGACAUGGCAUCAUGAUGUAGUUAAAGCUCCGGCGGUUAAGGAUGGGCAUGCGGUACAUUAGCUAGUUGGUGAGGUAAUGGCUCACCAAGGCUACGAUGUAUAGGGGGUCUGAGAGGAUGGUCCCCCACACUGGUACUGAGACACGGACCAGACUCCUACGGGAAGCAGCAGUAGGGAAUAUUGGUCAAUGGACGCAAGUCUGAACCAGCCAUGCCGCGUGAAGGAUGAAGGCCCUAUGGGUCGUAAACUUCUUUUAUUAGGGAAGAAAAAGCGGGAUGCGUCCUGUACUGACGGUACUUAAUGAAUAAGGAUCGGCUAACUUCGUGCCAGCAGCCGCAGUAA